This 2186-nucleotide long non-coding RNA is filed under the name Medicago truncatula (barrel medic). RNAcentral's name for it is "lncRNA gene35245". Lineage: Eukaryota; Viridiplantae; Streptophyta; Magnoliopsida; Fabales; Fabaceae. The record is from RNAcentral.
GCCUCCUUAGCACUAAUUUUCAACUCAUUUCCACUCAUUUUAGGAACUAGUUUUACAAUGUGUGAUAUAACAAAAUACAAACUAAAUUUGUGUUUAGAAAUUCACUUUUGAAUUUUACACUUUUUUAAGCUUGUUUUCUAUAACUAAUUCUCUAUUUUUCAAGCAAAAACCAAUGGGGAAUUUGGAGAUAAACUAGUCAAAGAAGCAUGCUCCCUCCAAGAAUCUCCUAACCUUUUCAAAUCAACAAGAGAAGAUCCACCUCCUCCUUUUGCCUCCUUAGCACUUGUUUUCAUCUUCAAAAUUGUCUCUCUAAUCUCUUUCCCUUUUUCUGAUUCCAUCAACUCCUUAACUCUCUCCCCCAACUCAUUUCCACUCACAAACCCUUUUUUUGACCCAUUUAGUUCCAAAGCCACCUUCAUUUCCUCAACCAAAAUCAUUUUGUUCAACCUUUGUUCUGCAUACAAAGGCCAUGCAAUCAUAGGCACUCCUUCACAAAUAGCUUCCAACACUGAGUUCCAUCCACAGUGAGUCACGAAUCCACCAACUGAUUCGUGACUCAAUAUUGCAUCUUGUGGUGCCCAAUUUCUCACCACCAUUCCCUUUUCCUUCGUCCUCUCCAAAAACCCUUCUGGCAACAAGUCAUCCAAACUAAGUUCCUCCAAGUUUGACUCGCUCCUUACAAUCCAUAAGAAUCUUUGCUCACUUUUCUCCAAUCCAAUAGCUAUCUCAUUCAACUGAGCCUUAGAAAAUCUCCCCAUGCUUCCAAAACUCAAAAACACGACGCUUUGACUAGGUUGCGAGUCAAGCCAAAUCAAACACCCAUUUUCAUCUCCUCCAUAAGAAGAUGUAAUCAAAGGUCCAAUACAAAAAAUGGAUGGAGUUGUUCCAUCAGGAACACAUACCCCUUCAUUCAAACCUUUAAUAGCUUUUUCUUCAAUAGCAUCAAAAGUGUUCACAAUAAUCCCAGCACAUUCCCUCAUUGUUUUCGCCGAAUCAAGCAAAAUCUUGCAACCUUUACUCUCAGAAUCCUUAGCUUCAUCGGGGUAAUCGUCUGUCGAAAAGUUCUUUGGUAACCCGGGAAUUUUAAGAGGCAUAUGAAGAUCCUUGAUGGGUUUUGUAGCUUUUUGGUGAAUGGUUGGAAAGUAAAGGAAAGUGGAAAGAAUGGUAGCACCUGAAGUAUAGUAAAAGUAAGUAGGAAUUUCAAGGUUGGUGGUGACUUGUGAGGCACUAUAGGUGAGGAAAUCUAAGAUAAUACCUUUGAAGUUUGUGGUUUUGGAAAUGGAGUUGAGAAUGUUGUGAACAUGAUGGUUGCUUUUGUGUGAGACUUCAAGUGUAAGUAAGUGUGUUGGAAGUGUUGUAGAGAAUGAAAUUGGAGGAAUAUAGUGGAAAUUAAUUGACGGAAAUGUGGCUGAAACAUUGACAAUGUAUUGUUCUUGUGGGGAAAGGGUGUCUUUGUUGGUGUUUGUGUUUUUGGUGGGUGGUGUAAGAAUUAGAAUUUUAAUGGAAAACAAAGGGUGGUGAGUUAAUAUUAGUUUUCCUAAUUCAAUCAUGGACAUUAAGUGUCCACUACCUAGAGCAGGAUAUAGAACUAUAGUGUCAUUCAUGUUUGAGAAGAUGGUAGAGUGUUUUUUUUGGUUUUGUUUUGUUGAAUUUACAUGAAGAAGAUACAAGAUGUAUUUAAAGACACUGGGGGUAGGGUAAGUUGAUGGGAAUAGCAGUGUUCACAUAUGGAUUGACCUACAAAAUUCUAGUAGAAUGUAACAACGUGAAAGAAUAAAAAUCCACAGAAAAGUUGCACCGUCAAAUUAUUAACAGGAUAUAGAACUAUAGUGUCGUUCGAUUCUCUCGGAUGUUAAUUUUAAUGGGUAAGUCCAUACAGAGGUUUGCUUUGGCAUUAAACUGAGCCUCACAAACGAAUGAUAAGAUUGGUCAUCUCAAAUUGAUUGAUCCUUGGAUAAGAUCGCGAGUUUUCUAUAAAAAAAAAUGAUUGGUAGGUGAAAAAUACAAAUCAAUGUGUUAGGGUAAAUAAAGUAGUAAAUGACAGUUCGAUUAGGUAUCAUUUUAUUUUGUCAUGUCAUUUUCUUUCUUUUUGGAAGAAUACUUUUUUAAGAUCAACACUUUUUUUCCGUCAUGUAAUUUCUUUUAUGUUUAGUUAUUUGAAGUAAAUCUAAGUUUUGAAAAACUUU